This 1082-nucleotide small RNA is filed under the name uncultured beta proteobacterium. Its description in RNAcentral is "bacterial SSU rRNA". The stretch from base 1 to 488 matches the Rfam family "Bacterial small subunit ribosomal RNA", at positions 1045 to 1533 of the family's 1533-position model. The record is from RNAcentral. Lineage: Bacteria; Pseudomonadati; Pseudomonadota; Betaproteobacteria.
AUGGCUGUCGUCAGCUCGUGUCGUGAGAUGUUGGGUUAAGUCCCGCAACGAGCGCAACCCUUGUCAUUAGUUGCUACAUUCAGUUGGGCACUCUAAUGAGACUGCCGGUGACAAACCGGAGGAAGGUGGGGAUGACGUCAAGUCCUCAUGGCCCUUAUGGGUAGGGCUUCACACGUAAUACAAUGGCGCGUACAGAGGGUUGCCAAGGAGCGAUCUGGAGCCAAUCCCGAAAAGCGCGUCGUAGUCCGGAUUGCAGUCUGCAACUCGACUGCAUGAAGUCGGAAUCGCUAGUAAUCGCGGAUCAGCAUGUCGCGGUGAAUACGUUCCCGGGCCUUGUACACACCGCCCGUCACACCAUGGGAGUGAGCAACACCCGAAGCCGGUGGCCUAACCCGCAAGGGAGGGAGCCGUCGAAGGUGGGGCUCGUGACUGGGGUGAAGUCGUAACAAGGUAGCCGUAGCGGAAGCUGCGGCUGGAUCACCUCCUUUCUAGGGAGCCCUCUCAAAUCAGAGGGCACCGAUCGCCAGUUGGAUCUCCGUCUCAGGCCUUCGGGCCUCGCGGGGCUCUCCCAAGACGCGAUCGGCCACUAGACAUGUCGACCGGAUCUGGAGGCAGCUCGCUUGAGCUGCCUGGUGGCUUUCUCUGUGAGCAACCCGGAGGAAAUCUCUGAUUUCCUCCAAUGGUGGCUCGCUCGGUGAGCCACCACCGCAUGCUGUUGAGUUUUGAGAGACCGGCUCACCGCCGGCGGCUCGGAAUGGACCAACGUCCGAGAGCCCCGCGUGGUGAGCUCUGCCUCUUCGCGGACCUUGAAAACUGCACAGUUAGCCAAUGACACGGGGGGCGAAAGCAUCCUUACGCUUUCGUCCACUGGAAAUUUCAUUGAAGUUUCCUCAGGAGCUUGCGCAAGCAGGCUCCCAUUGGCAAGCCACUUGUGGCUUGCCACGAUCACCCGUCAAGAUAGUAAGGGCACAUGGUGGAUGCCUUGGCACCAAGAGUCGAUGAAGGGCGUGAACGGCUGCGAUAAGCCGCGGUGAGGCGCUGAAUGGCCAGUGACCCGCGGAUGCCCGAAUGGGGAAACCCGG